GAUGAAGGAGGGAGGCGUGCCUAAUACAUGCAAGUCGAGCGAACAGACGAGGAGCUUGCUCCUCUGACGUUAGCGGCGGACGGGUGAGUAACACGUGGAUAACCUACCUAUAAGACUGGGAUAACUUCGGGAAACCGGAGCUAAUACCGGAUAAUAUAUUGAACCGCAUGGUUCAAUAGUGAAAGACGGUUUUGCUGUCACUUAUAGAUGGAUCCGCGCCGCAUUAGCUAGUUGGUAAGGUAACGGCUUACCAAGGCAACGAUGCGUAGCCGACCUGAGAGGGUGAUCGGCCACACUGGAACUGAGACACGGUCCAGACUCCUACGGGAGGCAGCAGUAGGGAAUCUUCCGCAAUGGGCGAAGGCCUGACGGAGCAACGCCGCGUGAGUGAUGAAGGUCUUCGGAUCGUAAAACUCUGUUAUUAGGGAAGAACAAAUGUGUAAGUAACUAUGCACGUCUUGACGGUACCUAAUCAGAAAGCCACGGCUAACUACGUG
Molecule: ribosomal RNA, 497 nt
Filed under: uncultured bacterium
Lineage: Bacteria
Description: partial 16S ribosomal RNA
Rfam family: Bacterial small subunit ribosomal RNA
Source: RNAcentral